GUACUUGGUUUGUAGAACAUAUGCUCAAAAGUUCGAAUGGUGCAGAGACGAUGUACAUGGCCCCUAAAUAAGGAUAACAUGCCAAUUCAUGAAGUGUUACACAGUUUU
Molecule: small nuclear RNA, 108 nt
Organism: Oryctolagus cuniculus (rabbit)
Lineage: Eukaryota; Metazoa; Chordata; Mammalia; Lagomorpha; Leporidae
Source: Ensembl